This 468-nucleotide ribosomal RNA is filed under the name uncultured bacterium. Its description in RNAcentral is "partial 16S ribosomal RNA". It matches the Rfam family "Bacterial small subunit ribosomal RNA", at positions 28 to 507 of the family's 1533-position model. The record is from RNAcentral.
GACGAACGCUGGCGGCGUGCUUAACACAUGCAAGUCGAACGGAAAGGCCCUGCUUUUGUGGGGUGCUCGAGUGGCGAACGGGUGAGUAACACGUGAGUAACCUGCCCUUGACUUUGGGAUAACUUCAGGAAACUGGGGCAAAUACUGGAUAGGAGCUCCUGCUGCUUGGUGGGGGUUGGAAAGUUUCGGCGGUUGGGGAUGGACUCGCGGCUUAUCAGCUUGUUGGUGGGGUAGUGGCUUACCAAGGCUUUGACGGGUAGCCGGCCUGAGAGGGUGACCGGCCACAUUGGGACUGAGAUACGGCCCAGACUCCUACGGGAGGCAGCAGUGGGGAAUAUUGCGCAAUGGGCGGAAGCCUGAUGCAGCAACGCCGCGUGCGGGAUGACGGCCUUCGGGUUGUAAACCUCUUUCGCCUGUGACGAAGCGUGAGUGACGGUAACGGGUAAAGAAGCACCGGCUAACUACGUG